This 338-nucleotide long non-coding RNA is filed under the name Nicotiana benthamiana. Its description in RNAcentral is "long non-coding RNA (NBEN_LNC010323)". The record is from RNAcentral. Lineage: Eukaryota; Viridiplantae; Streptophyta; Magnoliopsida; Solanales; Solanaceae.
CCCCCCCCCCCCCCCCCACGAGAUUGGAUAAAAUCUAUUUUGAAGACCAAUCCUUGAUGAAUGUGGGGCUCAGAUUGAGUGAAAUCAAUUCAACGCCUCACACUCAUCCACCAUUCGUCUUCCAGACCCUUCCAAUCGCAUGUUAAAACUCGAAUUCGAGCGAGUGAGAGGGGAGGGGAAUCUUGCAUCAGAAACCGUUAGCAACGGCAAGAUGAGAGAAGGAGGGACGCAUGGGUUAGAGAUUUGAGAUCACUCGCCAUGGUUUUGGCCUAAAAUGAGACUGGACUCGAGUGAAGAAGGCGAUUGAACAUUUCGUUUAGGAUUUAGGGCUCUAGGGG